RNAcentral lists this ribosomal RNA (253 nucleotides) under uncultured bacterium. RNAcentral describes it as "partial 16S ribosomal RNA". It matches the Rfam family "Bacterial small subunit ribosomal RNA", at positions 524 to 776 of the family's 1533-position model. The record is from RNAcentral.
AACGUAGGUGGCAAGCGUUAUCCGGAAUUACUGGGCGUAAAGGGUGUGCAGGCGGGGAAGCAAGUGGGGUAUUAAAUCUCCCAGCUUAACUGGGAUAGGUUAUGCCAUACUGCUUUUCUAGAGGACGAGAGAGGGGGGUGGAAUUCCGGGUGUAGUGGUGAAAUGCGUAGAUAUUGGGAGGAACACCAGUGGCGAAGGCGGCUCACUGGACCGGUACUGACGCUGAGGCGCGAAAGCGUGGGGAGCAAACGGG